GUGGGGAAUAUUGGACAAUGGGCGAAAGCCUGAUCCAGCCAUGCCGCGUGUGUGAAGAAGGUCUUCGGAUUGUAAAGCACUUUAAGUUGGGAGGAAGGGCAGUAAGUUAAUACCUUGCUGUUUUGACGUUACCGACAGAAUAAGCACCGGCUAACUUCGUGCCAGCAGCCGCGGUAAUAGGAAGGGUGCAAGCGUUAAUCGGAAUUACUGGGCGUAAAGCGCGCGUAGGUGGUUUUGUAAGUUGGAGGUGAAAUCCCCGGGCUCAACCUGGGAACUGCCUCCAAAACUGCAUGACUAGAGUACGGUAGAGGGUAGUGGAAUUUCCUGUGUAGCGGUGAAAUGCGUAGAUAUAGGAAGGAACACCAGUGGCGAAGGCGACUACCUGGACUGAUACUGACACUGAGGUGCGAAAGCGUGGGGAGCAAACAGGAUUAGAUACCCGUGUAGUCC
This 450-nucleotide ribosomal RNA is filed under the name uncultured bacterium. RNAcentral describes it as "partial 16S ribosomal RNA". It matches the Rfam family "Bacterial small subunit ribosomal RNA", at positions 354 to 796 of the family's 1533-position model. The record is from RNAcentral.